CCUAGUAACGGCGAGUGAAGCGGCAACAGCUCAAAUUUGAAAUCUGGCGUCUUUGGCGUCCGAGUUGUAAUUUGCAGAGGGCGCUUUGGCAUUGGCAGCGGUCCAAGUUCCUUGGAACAGGACGUCACAGAGGGUGAGAAUCCCGUACGUGGUCGCUAGCCUUUACCGUGUAAAGCCCCUUCGACGAGUCGAGUUGUUUGGGAAUGCAGCUCUAAAUGGGAGGUAAAUUUCUUCUAAAGCUAAAUACUGGCCAGAGACCGAUAGCGCACAAGUAGAGUGAUCGAAAGAUGAAAAGCACUUUGGAAAGAGAGUUAAAAAGCACGUGAAAUUGUUGAAAGGGAAGCGCUUGCAGCCAGACUUGCCUGUAGUUGCUCAUCCGGGUUUCUACCCGGUGCACUCUUCUAUAGGCAGGCCAGCAUCAGUUUGGGCGGUUGGAUAAAGGUCUCUGUCAUGUACCUCCUUUCGGGGAGAUCUUAUAGGGGAGACGACAUGCAACCAGCCUGGACUGAGGUCCGCGCAUCUGCUAGGAUGCUGGCGUAAUGGCUGUAAGCGGCCCGUCUUGAAACACGGACCAAGGAGUCUAACAUCUAUGCGAGUGUUUGGGUGUCAAGCCCGAACGCGUAAUGAAAGUGAACGGAGGUGGGAACCUUUCGGGGUGCACCAUCGACCGAUCCUGAUGUCUUCGGAUGGAUUUGAGUAAGAGCAUAGCUGUUGGGACCCGAAAGAUGGUGAACUAUGCUUGAAUAGGGUGAAGCCAGAGGAAACUCUGGUGGAGGCUCGCAGCGGUUCUGACGUGCAAAUCGAUCGUCAAAUUUGGGC
RNAcentral lists this ribosomal RNA (819 nucleotides) under Stagonosporopsis loticola. RNAcentral's name for it is "LSU rRNA". It matches the Rfam family "Eukaryotic large subunit ribosomal RNA", at positions 79 to 916 of the family's 3401-position model. Lineage: Eukaryota; Fungi; Ascomycota; Dothideomycetes; Pleosporales; Didymellaceae. The record is from RNAcentral.